This 581-nucleotide unclassified non-coding RNA is filed under the name Penicillium expansum. Its description in RNAcentral is "sequence contains 18S rRNA gene, ITS1, 5.8S rRNA gene, ITS2, 28S rRNA gene". The stretch from base 215 to 367 matches the Rfam family "5.8S ribosomal RNA". The record is from RNAcentral. Lineage: Eukaryota; Fungi; Ascomycota; Eurotiomycetes; Eurotiales; Aspergillaceae.
AACAAGGUUUCCGUAGGUGAACCUGCGGAAGGAUCAUUACCGAGUGAGGGCCCUUUGGGUCCAACCUCCCACCCGUGUUUAUUUACCUCGUUGCUUCGGCGGGCCCGCCUUAACUGGCCGCCGGGGGGCUCACGCCCCCGGGCCCGCGCCCGCCGAAGACACCCCCGAACUCUGCCUGAAGAUUGUCGUCUGAGUGAAAAUAUAAAUUAUUUAAAACUUUCAACAACGGAUCUCUUGGUUCCGGCAUCGAUGAAGAACGCAGCGAAAUGCGAUACGUAAUGUGAAUUGCAAAUUCAGUGAAUCAUCGAGUCUUUGAACGCACAUUGCGCCCCCUGGUAUUCCGGGGGGCAUGCCUGUCCGAGCGUCAUUGCUGCCCUCAAGCCCGGCUUGUGUGUUGGGCCCCGUCCUCCGAUUCCGGGGGACGGGCCCGAAAGGCAGCGGCGGCACCGCGUCCGGUCCUCGAGCGUAUGGGGCUUUGUCACCCGCUCUGUAGGCCCGGCCGGCGCUUGCCGAUCAACCCAAAUUUUUAUCCAGGUUGACCUCGGAUCAGGUAGGGAUACCCGCUGAACCUAAGCAUAUCA